UGGGGAAUAUUGCACAAUGGGCGCAAGCCUGAUGCAGCCAUGCCGCGUGUAUGAAGAAGGCCUUCGGGUUGUAAAGUACUUUCAGCGGGGAGGAAGGGAGUAAAGUUAAUACCUUUGCUCAUUGACGUUACCCGCAGAAGAAGCACCGGCUAACUCCGUGCCAGCAGCCGCGGUAAUACGGAGGGUGCAAGCGUUAAUCGGAAUUACUGGGCGUAAAGCGAACGCAGGCGGUUUGUUAAGUCAGAUGUGAAAUCCUCGGGCUCAACCUGGGAACUGCAUCUGAUACUGGCAAGCUUGAGUCUCGUAGAGGGGGGUAGAAUUCCAGGUGUAGCGGUGAAAUGCGUAGAGAUCUGGAGGAAUACCGGUGGCGAAGGCGGCCCCCUGGACGAAGACUGACGCUCAGGUGCGAAAGCGUGGGGAGCAAACAGG
RNAcentral lists this ribosomal RNA (429 nucleotides) under Chloroflexota bacterium. Its description in RNAcentral is "Chloroflexi bacterium partial 16S ribosomal RNA". It matches the Rfam family "Bacterial small subunit ribosomal RNA", at positions 355 to 776 of the family's 1533-position model. The record is from RNAcentral. Lineage: Bacteria; Bacillati; Chloroflexota.